Molecule: ribosomal RNA, 560 nt
Filed under: uncultured Glomus
Lineage: Eukaryota; Fungi; Glomeromycota; Glomeromycetes; Glomerales; Glomeraceae
Description: SSU rRNA
Rfam family: Eukaryotic small subunit ribosomal RNA
Source: RNAcentral
AAUUGGAGGGCAAGUCUGGUGCCAGCAGCCGCGGUAAUUCCAGCUCUAAUAGCGUAUAUUAAAGUUGUUGCAGUUAAAAAGCUCGUAGUUGAAUUUCGGGAUCAAUAUUUCGGUCAUGCCGUUGGUAUGCACUGUUAUCAUUGAUUUCUCACCUUCUAAAGAACCGUAAUGCCAUUAAUUUGGUGUUACGGGGAAUUAGGACUGUUACCUUGAAAAAAUUAGAGUGUUUAAAGCAGGCUCACGCUUGAAUACAUUAGCAUGGAAUAAUGAAAUAGGACAUCCGAUUCUAUUUUGUUGGUUUCUAGGAUCGAUGUAAUGAUUAAUAGGGAUAGUUGGGGGCAUUAGUAUUCAAUUGUCAGAGGUGAAAUUCUUGGAUUUAUUGAAGACUAACUACUGCGAAAGCAUUUGCCAAGGAUGUUUUCAUUAAUCAAGAACGAAAGUUAGGGGAUCGAAGACGAUCAGAUACCGUCGUAGUCUUAACCAUAAACUAUGCCGACUAGGGAUCGGAUGAUGUUAAUUUUUUAAUGACUCAUUCGGCGCCUUACGGGAAACCAAAGUGU